This 468-nucleotide ribosomal RNA is filed under the name uncultured bacterium. RNAcentral describes it as "partial 16S ribosomal RNA". It matches the Rfam family "Bacterial small subunit ribosomal RNA", at positions 28 to 507 of the family's 1533-position model. The record is from RNAcentral.
GACGAACGCUGGCGGCGUGCUUAACACAUGCAAGUCGAACGGUAAGGGCCUGUUGUGGUGGGGUGCUUGAGUGACGAACGGGUGAUUCACAGGUGAGUAACCUGCGCUGGAGGUUGGGAUAACUAAAGGAAACUGGGGCUAAUACCGGAUAGGAGCAUCAGCUCGAUGGUGGGGGUAGGAAAGUUUAGGCGGGCUGAGUUGGAGCCGCGGGUUAUAAGCUUGUUGGUGGGGGAGUGGCAUACCAAGGCAUUGACGGGUAGCCGGCCUGUGAGGGUGGCCGGGCACAUGGGGACUGAGAUACGGCCCAGACGGCUACUGGAGGCAGCAGUGGGGAAUAUUGCACAAUGGGCGGGAGCCUGAUGCAGCAACGCCGCGUGCGUGAUGAGGGCCUUCGGGUAGUAAACCGGUUUUGGCUAUUACGAAGCGUGAAUGACGGUAAUGUGUAAAGAAGCACCGGCUAACUACGUG